UACGUAGGCAGCAAGCGUUGUUCGGAGUUACUGGGCGUAAAGGGUGUGUAGGCGGUUCUUUAAGUUUGGUGUGAAAUCUCCCGGCUUAACCGGGAGGGUGCGCCGAAUACUGAGGGACUAGAGUACGGGAGAGGAAAGUGGAAUUCCUGGUGUAGCGGUGAAAUGCGUAGAUAUCAGGAGGAACACCGGUGGUGUAGACGGCUUUCUGGACCGUAACUGACGCUGAGACACGAAAGCGUGGGUAGCAAACGGG
RNAcentral lists this ribosomal RNA (253 nucleotides) under uncultured bacterium. RNAcentral describes it as "partial 16S ribosomal RNA". It matches the Rfam family "Bacterial small subunit ribosomal RNA", at positions 524 to 776 of the family's 1533-position model. The record is from RNAcentral.